Molecule: ribosomal RNA, 482 nt
Filed under: uncultured bacterium
Lineage: Bacteria
Description: partial 16S ribosomal RNA
Rfam family: Bacterial small subunit ribosomal RNA
Source: RNAcentral
UGACCGCUGGCGGCAGGCCUACCACAUGCAAGUCGAGCGGAUGAAGGGAGCUUGCUCCUGGAUUCAGCGGCGGACGGGUGAGUAAUGCCUAGGAAUCUGCCUGGUAGUGGGGGAUAACGUCCGGAAACGGGCGCUAAUACCGCAUACGUCCUGAGGGAGAAAGUGGGGGAUCUUCGGACCUCACGCUAUCAGAUGAGCCUAGGUCGGAUUAGCUAGUUGGUGGGGUAAAGGCCUACCAAGGCGACGAUCCGUAACUGGUCUGAGAGGAUGAUCAGUCACACUGGAACUGAGACACGGUCCAGACUCCUACGGGAGGCAGCAGUGGGGAAUAUUGGACAAUGGGCGAAAGCCUGAUCCAGCCAUGCCGCGUGUGUGAAGAAGGUCUUCGGAUUGUAAAGCACUUUAAGUUGGGAGGAAGGGCAGUAAGUUAAUACCUUGCUGUUUUGACGUUACCAACAGAAUAAGCACCGGCUAACUUCGUG